UACGGGGGGGGUAAGCGUUGUUCGGAAUUACUGGGCGUAAGGGGCUCGUAGGCGGCCAACUAAGUCAUACGUGAAAUCCCUCAGCUUAACUGGGGAACUGCGUGUGAUACUGGAUGGCUUGGAUUUGGGAGAGGGAUGCGGAAUUCCAGGUGUAGCGGUGAAAUGCGUAGAUAUCUGGAGGAACACCGGUGGCGAAGGCGGCAUCCUGGACCAAUAUUGACGCUGAGGAGCGAAAGCCAGGGGAGCAAACGGG
RNAcentral lists this ribosomal RNA (253 nucleotides) under uncultured bacterium. RNAcentral's name for it is "partial 16S ribosomal RNA". It matches the Rfam family "Bacterial small subunit ribosomal RNA", at positions 524 to 776 of the family's 1533-position model. The record is from RNAcentral.